Molecule: non-coding RNA, 560 nt
Organism: Oncorhynchus mykiss (rainbow trout)
Lineage: Eukaryota; Metazoa; Chordata; Actinopteri; Salmoniformes; Salmonidae
Source: RefSeq, a predicted model, not a curated record
UAGCACAGCUCCUCUCUAAAACCACUCUGAUGUUGUUUUCUCACACUGUCUGACUGUUAUAUCAGACAGGUAGACAGUUCCCCCUCACACUGUCUGACUGUGUUAUAUCAGACAGGCAGACAGUGUUAUAUCAGACAGGUAGACAGUUCCCCUCACACUGUGUUAUAUCAGACAGGUAGACUGUGUUAUAUCAGACAGGUAGACAGUUCCCCUCACACUGUGUUAUAUCAGACAGGUAGACAGGUAGACUGUGUUAUAUCAGACAGGUAGACAGGUAGACUGUGUUAUAUCAGACAGGUAGACAGGUAGACUGUGUUAUAUCAGACAGGUAGACAGCUCCUCCUCACACUGUGUUAUCUCAGACAGGUAGACAGUUCCCCUCACACUGUGUUAUCUCAGACAGGUAGACAGUCUCCUCACACUGUGUUAUCUCAGACAGGUAGACUGUGUUAUAUCAGACAGGUAGACAGCUCCCCUCACACUGUCUGACUGUGUUAUAUCAGACAGGUAGACUGUGUUAUAUCAGUCAGGUAGACAGCUCCCCCUCACACUGUGUUAUA